GACGAACGCUGGCGGCGUGCUUAACACAUGCAAGUCGAACGGAAAGGCCCUGCUUUUGUGGGGUGCUCGAGUGGCGAACGGGUGAGUAACACGUGAGUAACCUGCCCUUGACUUUGGGAUAACUUCAGGAAACUGGGGCUAAUACCGGAUAGGAGCUCCUGCUGCAUGGUGGGGGUUGGAAAGUUUCGGCGGUUGGGGAUGGACUCGCGGCUUAUCAGCUUGUUGGUGGGGUAGUGGCUUACCAAGGCUUUGACGGGUAGCCGGCCUGAGAGGGUGACCGGCCACAUUGGGACUGAGAUACGGCCCAGACUCCUACGGGAGGCAGCAGUGGGGAAUAUUGCACAAUGGGCGGAAGCCUGAUGCAGCAACGCCGCGUGCGGGAUGACGGCCUUCGGGUUGUAAACCGCUUUCGCCUGUGACGAAGCGUGAGUGACGGUAAUGGGUAAAGAAGCACCGGCUAACUACGUGCCAGCAGCCGCGGUGAUACGUAGGGUGCGAGCGUUGUCCGGAUUUAUUGGGCGUAAAGGGCUCGUAGGUGGUUGAUCGCGUCGGAAGUGUAAUCUUGGGGCUUAACCCUGAGCGUGCUUUCGAUACGGGUUGACUUGAGGAAGGUAGGGGAGAAUGGAAUUCCUGGUGGAGCGGUGGAAUGCGCAGAUAUCAGGAGGAACACCAGUGGCGAAGGCGGUUCUCUGGGCCUUUCCUGACGCUGAGGAGCGAAAGCGUGGGGAGCGAACAGGCUUAGAUACCCUGGUAGUCCACGCUGUAAACGGUGGGUACUAGGUGUGGGGUCCAUUCCACGGGUUCCGUGCCGUAGCUAACGCUUUAAGUACCCCGCCUGGGGAGUACGGCCGCAAGGCUAAAACUCAAAGGAAUUGACGGGGCCCCGCACAAGCGGCGGAGCAUGCGGAUUAAUUCGAUGCAACGCGUAGAACCUUACCUGGGUUUGACAUGGAUCGGGAGUGCUCAGAGAUGGGUGUGCCUCUUUUGGGGUCGGUUCACAGGUGGUGCAUGGCUGUCGUCAGCUCGCGUCGUGAGAUGUUGGGUUAAGUCCCGCAACGAGCGCAACCCUUGUUCACUGUUGCCAGCACGUUAUGGUGGGGACUCAGUGGAGACCGCCGGGGUCAACUCGGAGGAAGGUGGGGAUGACGUCAAGUCAUCAUGCCCCUUAUGUCCAGGGCUUCACGCAUGCUACAAUGGCUGGUACAGAGAGUGGCGAGCCUGUGAGGGUGAGCGAAUCUCGGAAAGCCGGUCUCAGUUCGGAUUGGGGUCUGCAACUCGACCUCAUGAAGUCGGAGCCGCUAGUAAUCGCAGAUCAGCAACGCUGCGGUGAAUACGUUCCCGGG
This 1343-nucleotide ribosomal RNA is filed under the name uncultured bacterium. RNAcentral describes it as "16S ribosomal RNA". It matches the Rfam family "Bacterial small subunit ribosomal RNA", at positions 28 to 1378 of the family's 1533-position model. The record is from RNAcentral.